Molecule: ribosomal RNA, 442 nt
Filed under: uncultured bacterium
Lineage: Bacteria
Description: partial 16S ribosomal RNA
Rfam family: Bacterial small subunit ribosomal RNA
Source: RNAcentral
CCUACGGGUGGCAGCAGUGGGGAAUAUUGCACAAUGGGCGAAAGCCUGAUGCAGCAACGCCGCGUGAAGGAAGACGGUUUUCGGAUUGUAAACUUCUAUCAAUAGGGAAGAAAGAAAUGACGGUACCUAAAUAAGAAGCCCCGGCUAACUACGUGCCAGCAGCCGCGGUAAUACGUAGGGAGCGAGCGUUGUCCGGAAUUACUGGGUGUAAAGGGAGCGUAGGCGGGACUGCAAGUUGGGUGUCAAAUCUACCGGCUCAACCGGUAGCCGCACUCAAAACUGCAGUUCUUGAGUGAAGUAGAGGCAGGCGGAAUUCCUAGUGUAGCGGUGAAAUGCGUAGAUAUUAGGAGGAACACCAGUGGCGAAGGCGGCCUGCUGGGCUUUUACUGACGCUGAGGCUCGAAAGUGUGGGGAGCAAACAGGAUUAGAUACCCCUGUAGUC